RNAcentral lists this ribosomal RNA (443 nucleotides) under uncultured bacterium. RNAcentral's name for it is "partial 16S ribosomal RNA". It matches the Rfam family "Bacterial small subunit ribosomal RNA", at positions 338 to 795 of the family's 1533-position model. The record is from RNAcentral.
CCUACGGGUGGCUGCAGUGGGGGAUAUUGGACAAUGGGGGGAACCCUGAUCCAGCGACGCCGCGUGAGUGAAGAAGUAUUUCGGUAUGUAAAGCUCUGUUAGCAGGGACGAAAGAAAUGACGGUACCUGAUCAAUAAGCCACGGCUAACUACGUGCCAGCAGCCGCGGUAAUACGUAGGGGGCAAGCGUUAUCCGGAUUUACUGGGUGUAAAGGGCGUGUAGGCGGGUAAGUAAGUCAGGUGUGAAAGGCCUGGGCCCAACCCCGGGACUGCUCUUGAAACUAUUGAACUUGAGUGCAGGAGAGGUAGGCGGAAUUCCUAGUGUAGCGGUGAAAUGCGUAGAUAUUAGGAGGAACACCAGUGGCGAAGGCGGCUUACUGGACUGUAACUGACGUUGAGGCUCGAAAGCGUGGGGAGCAAACAGGAUUAGAUACCCCAGUAGUC